UCACAGGAUCGAUGAGGUUGGAAAAGAUCUCUGGGAUCGUCGGGUCCAACCUAUGACCGAACACCGUGACGGUCAGACCGUGGCGUUCGGUGCCGCGUCCGGGCUUCCCUUAAACACCUCCAGGGACGGGGACUCCUGCACCUCCCCGGGCGGCCCAUUCCAAUGCGUAAUGACCCCUUCUGUGAAGAAAUUUCACCUGAUGUCCAACCUUAACUUCCCGUGGCGCAGCAUAAGAGUGUGUCCUCUUGUGCUGUCGCCGGUUGACUUGGAGGAGAGGCCAACCCCAAACCUGGCCACACGCUCCUUUCAGGAGCAGAAGUGGAAACUUGGAGAGAAAUCUGUGGCCUGCUAGUAAUGAGAUGGAAGCAAGAGCUGAUGAAAGCUUUGAAGUCUCCUCCUCAGGGAGGAGCAGCAUGUCCUUUGGAGGUGGUACCAGAAUCUGCAGCUUUGUGGCACAAUAUUAGAGUAAUGCUCCUGUCACUGCCAGAGGUUUGGCCGUAGCGCCAGAUAAUGAAUGAGAGUGCAAGCCUGCUGCCCCUCCCUUUGGCAGACCGUGGGUGUUCUUUUGGGUGGCAAUGCUGCCUGUCCCCCCACCCCCUUCCCACCCAUUCCUUUGCAAAGCACAGUUUGUCACCCCCUCGGCUGUGCUAACGCAUCCCCCGCCGAGGAGCGAUGCUGCUGGAUCUGCUAAAUGGUCCCAGCUAAUAAUACCCCCCAAUACCUCUUUCUUUUGGGAAGUUAUUCAAGGAUCCAGCUUGCAGAAUGGCAUGAUAAACAUCUUGGCAAAGCUGAGCUGGCAGCAAAAGGAAGUGUCAGGGCAGGAGUGAGCGGUUGGGGCAAGGAAAUGGCAGGAACGUCUUCAGCUGCUCUACGAUAAGAGACCAGAUGUAAUGAUUUGACACAUUUCCAUCCAUCCUAUGUCUUUUCUUUCCCCCAAAGGAUGCUGAGAUUGCACGGACCUCUAACGUCCUCAAGAUCUUUCAUGCCAAAAAUUUCUGUGAUGAUCAGGAUCAUUGAUGUGCCUGAAGUGGGGAGCGUGGCAUUUAGCAGUUGGUUACUGCAGAAGCAGGAUAUGAGGAGAGUUAUAGCCAUGUGAAAAACCCAGGGCACAAUCAUGUAAUUAAAAGGCCAUUAUAAUGGUUAUACCUCUGAGGAGGACUGGGUAUUAAUCACUGUCUGAUUAAUACUUGAGAGCUUGUCUGUGUGAUCUGGAUGUAUUUUUAUGUGCUUAUGUUGUGUGCGCGCAUAUUUACCCCGAUGGUGAGAAGCAAAUGUGGCUGAGGCUCGGAAGCUGAAGUUUUACUUGAUCUAGCUUCUUGAGUCAUUUCCUGUGGAUUUGCAAGAUCUCUUAUUUGAUCUCCGCUUUCACUGUCCUGCCAAUUUGCAAGCUGCUAAGCGAUUUAUUCUCUUAAUGACUUCUCUCACUCGCUGCACAACCCUUUUACUGUUGCUUUCACCGAAGUAUUGAAUUUUAUUUUUCUAAUAUUUAGGUUACUGUGCCGGUUCUUGCAAGCAGCGUGCUUGAGCUGGCUGACUUUUCUGAAUGAAAAGGCUCCCUCUCCGAGGUGUGAUUUCUGUUUGUGCUUUGUGUUGUUUGUAUACAGAGCUUCUGCUCAGACACAGAAUAGCGCUUCCCUGUGAUGUGAUCGUUAAGGUACCUAGAAUUAAUUAGCCUUUGGUGGCAGAGCUUCAAGGCAGCAGCUCCUGCAUACUAACGAUAUUUGCCUGCUAUGACUGUCCCCUGUUUUAUGUUCCAAAUAAACAUUUAUUUUGCAGAGUAA
Long non-coding RNA from Hirundo rustica (Barn swallow), 1781 nucleotides. RefSeq lists it as uncharacterized. Lineage: Eukaryota; Metazoa; Chordata; Aves; Passeriformes; Hirundinidae. The transcript has 2 exons. The record is from RefSeq and is a predicted model, not a curated record.